CAGCCGCCGCGGGAAUACGAGGGGGGCAAGCAUUGUUCGGAAUUAUUGGGCGUAAAGGGUGCGUAGGCGGCUUGACAAGUCUUGUGUGAAAUCUAUGGGCUCAACCCAUAGUCUGCACGGGAAACUGUCGGGCUUGAGAAUGGGAGAGGUGAGUGGAAUUUCCGGUGUAGCGGUGAAAUGCGUAGAUAUCGGAAGGAACACCUGUGGCGAAAGCGGCUCACUGGACCAUUUCUGACGCUGAUGUACGAAAGCUAGGGGAGCAAACAGGAUUAGAUACCCCUGUAGUCCCUGUCUCUUAUAC
This 301-nucleotide ribosomal RNA is filed under the name uncultured bacterium. Its description in RNAcentral is "partial 16S ribosomal RNA". It matches the Rfam family "Bacterial small subunit ribosomal RNA", at positions 509 to 807 of the family's 1533-position model. The record is from RNAcentral.